Molecule: ribosomal RNA, 439 nt
Filed under: uncultured bacterium
Lineage: Bacteria
Description: partial 16S ribosomal RNA
Rfam family: Bacterial small subunit ribosomal RNA
Source: RNAcentral
CUACGGGUUGCUGCAGUGGGGAAUUUUGGACAAUGGAGGAAACUCUGAUCCAGGGAUACCGCGUGGGUGAUGAAGAUUUACGGAUUGUAAAGCCCUUUUAGUAGGGAAAAUAAUGAUGGUACCUACAGAAAAAGCAUCAGCUAACUCUGUGCCAGCAGCUGCGGUAAUACAGAGGAUGCGAGUGUUAUUCGGAAUCACUGGGCGUAAAGGGCGCGUAGGCGGUUAUUUAAGUCCGCAAUAAAAUACCGGGGCUCAACUUCGGUGCUGUUGUGGAUACUGUUUAACUAGAGAACGGAAGAGGUGAAUAGAAUUCCUGGUGGAGAGGUGACAUUCUUAGAUAUCAGGAGGAAUGCCAGAGGCGAAAGCGGUUCACUGGGACGUUUCUGACGCUGAGGCGCGAAAGCGUGGGGAUCAAACAGGAUUAGAUACCCCAGUAGUC